AUGCAGCAGGGGGAUGGCACCCUGAGGCUGAUGUGCUUCUCAGUGUCGCCGGAGACCACGCGCCACCGCCUCGUGCACGCGGGCUACCCAGCUGGGGCGGCGCACCCCUGGGUCGGCGACGGCUCCAUCACUCACGCCGAUUCCAUGUACUUCAUCGACUGUUCGUCAGGUCUCAUCAGGCUCCGCGUGUCCCCUACCUUCAUCGUACCCACGGGUAUCGAUUUCAUCCCUUUCCCAGAUGAUGGCCAGUACCUCCGCUAUGUUGGCGUCAGCCAGGAUCUGGUGAUGCUCUCGGACAUCGACGCGGAGGGAAGGCUCCGCACCUGGAUGCUCACCACCACAGAGCACGAUCAGCAGCAUUGGGAGCAGUAUGCCCAGGUUCGCUUGCAGGAGAUAGCCUGCAGCAUUCCCCUCAGGCUGCCAUGUCGCAUUGCCUUCCUGCACAGGGAGGCGCACAUCGUCUACCUCAUCUCUGGCGUCACCGAUCGUACCCUGAUGUUACUGGGUGUUGACAUGGAGCAGGGCACCUGUCCAUGGAGUGCAGCCUUCCUGCCGCUGCCGUGUCCCACUUCUUCACAGUGGAGCUCCAGUAGCCCCCCUCGCCCUGGCCCAAGUUACACUAGGAAUUUUGCCUUAAUUCAGAAUGUUCAGUACAUUUGA
This 660-nucleotide ribosomal RNA is filed under the name Triticum aestivum (bread wheat). RNAcentral's name for it is "partial small subunit ribosomal RNA". Lineage: Eukaryota; Viridiplantae; Streptophyta; Magnoliopsida; Poales; Poaceae. The record is from RNAcentral.